This 31-nucleotide non-coding RNA is filed under the name Rattus norvegicus (Norway rat). Lineage: Eukaryota; Metazoa; Chordata; Mammalia; Rodentia; Muridae. The record is from RNAcentral.
UUCACACUCGGCCUUUGUCCCACUUUCGUCC